UACGGAGGGUGCAAGCGUUAUCCGGAUUUACUGGGCUUAAAGGGUGCGUAGGUGGGUAAGUAAGUCAGUGGUGAAAUCUUCGAGCUUAACUCGGAAACUGCCAUUGAUACUAUUUAUCUUGAAUACUGUGGAGGUAAGCGGAAUAUGUCAUGUAGCGGUGAAAUGCGUAGAUAUGACAUAGAACACCAAUGGCGAAGGCAGCUUACUAGACAGUUAUUGACACUGAGGCACGAAAGCGUGGGGAGCAAACAGG
Molecule: ribosomal RNA, 253 nt
Filed under: uncultured bacterium
Lineage: Bacteria
Description: partial 16S ribosomal RNA
Rfam family: Bacterial small subunit ribosomal RNA
Source: RNAcentral